UACAGAGGUGGCAAGCGUUGUUCGGAAUUACUGGGCGUAAAGGGCGCGUAGGCGGCCUGCUAAGUCGAACGUGAAAUCCCCGGGCUCAACCCGGGAACUGCGUCCGAUACUGGUGGGCUUGAAUCCGGGAGAGGGAUGUGGAAUUCCAGGUGUAGCGGUGAAAUGCGUAGAUAUCUGGAGGAACACCGGUGGCGAAGGCGGCAUCCUGGACCGGUAUUGACGCUGAGGCGCGAAAGCCAGGGGAGCAAACGGG
RNAcentral lists this ribosomal RNA (253 nucleotides) under uncultured bacterium. RNAcentral describes it as "partial 16S ribosomal RNA". It matches the Rfam family "Bacterial small subunit ribosomal RNA", at positions 524 to 776 of the family's 1533-position model. The record is from RNAcentral.